RNAcentral lists this ribosomal RNA (253 nucleotides) under uncultured bacterium. Its description in RNAcentral is "partial 16S ribosomal RNA". It matches the Rfam family "Bacterial small subunit ribosomal RNA", at positions 524 to 776 of the family's 1533-position model. The record is from RNAcentral.
UACGUAGGUGGCAAGCGUUGUCCGGAUUUACUGGGCGUAAAGAGCGCGCAGGCGGUCGUUCAAGUCGCGUGUGAAAGCCCCCGGCUCAACUGGGGAGGGUCACGCGAUACUGAUCGACUCGAAGGCAGGAGAGGGAAGUGGAAUUCCCAGUGUAGAGGUGAAAUUCGUAGAUAUUGGGAAGAACACCGAUGGCGAAGGCAGCCAUCUGGACCGACACUGACGCUGAGGCGCGAAAGCGUGGGGAGCAAACAGG